This 1050-nucleotide long non-coding RNA is filed under the name Betta splendens (Siamese fighting fish). RNAcentral's name for it is "lncRNA (ENSBSLG00000017478.1)". The record is from RNAcentral. Lineage: Eukaryota; Metazoa; Chordata; Actinopteri; Anabantiformes; Osphronemidae.
UUACAUCCGUAUCGGAUUAGGGACUACCAUUGAAAUGAAUGGUAAACGCGUUUAGGGGAAAUUAGCUAAAGAACUCACCCUCCCAGAAAUUGCCAUUAUAUUGCAUACUCCAACUCAAAAGGUGGCGGUAAUGCACUACCCAGUUUACCAAGUGCCAAAUACCCAAAGAAAAAAGAAGAAGAGGUUUCGAGAUCUGAUUAGUUAUCGUAACUUUCCGUUCGUUUACAGCGCACAGCAGACUUUUCUUUCACCCUGAAGGCUGAGUUCAGCGCCUGGCAGGGCCGUCGAUCCCCCCAUGCAAGUUGCCCUAGCGUCUGGCAGGGUAGCUAUUAUGUUUCCUCCACAGCGAUAGAAGGUCAGCUCAGUCACAGUGGCACUGGGGACACAUGUCGUCUCCCACUGAAGCUCCUCGGUGGCAGAUGACUGCAGUGUCAGGUGUUAUGGAGGAGACACAUGGCUGUCUGCAGUCCAAAUCCUGCUCCACACUACAGGGAGCAGUGACUGACGGCUACUGACCAUUACGUCUGUCUUUCCAGUGGACAAAGGUUUAUUAGGAGAAGGAGACGAGGGAACCAGGAGAUGAGCAACGAGACAAUCAAUCUGGACCAAGAGCCGGCAUUCCAAGCAGCCCGGACCUAAGCUGUCAAACCGAUCGAAGGAAGCACAGCUGCACAAUUACGUUCAGUGCAGCUGUGGAGGUUGGAGAACUGUGACAACAGAGACCAUAGGACCACCUGGAGAGAAGUUGUCACCUGUGUCUAUGGAGGCUCAAUGCAAUAACAUCCUGCAGCUCUUCGCUCUCUCCAGCCUCUGGUCCAGACAGAGGGGAGCCUCCCAGUCCUAAUCACAUAGAGGAAGUGUCUUUAUCACUGCUUUCUCUGUGCUGCUGGGUUUGGGAGACUCUUCACAUAACCAGUGGUGUUGGCCUCCAUCUGUAAACAGAAGACGGUCAAGACAAGUGGUUGUCAUAAAUAUUGUGUUUAUAUAUAUAUAUGUAUAUAAUGUAAUUAAGAAAAUAAAAGAACUGCUUUGUCUGAAGAUGCUGUAGAU